UGUCUUUCUCUCCUCUCUCUUCUCCCUCACAUCAUCUCUAACUUUUACUGGUAGAACCGCUUCCCGACCCCAAGGGGAGUUUAUUUUAAUCCCGUUCAGCAGCGGGCUGGUUUCCCGGUGGGGCCGUUGGCCCGGAGGAGCUGAGGUGCCUCAGGGCUGCCCUUCAGAGGGUUAAGUAAAACAUGAAAACCCAGUAGUAAGGCAAUACCAGAGAUGGCAAACCAGUGUUAAUUACUCCAAACUGAAAGACUGAUGGGUUUCACACACAAAGAAGGAGGAAAAAAAGUACUUCUUGAAGCACGGAGGAUGGAAGGAAUAAGGAAAUACAAGCUUGGGAAAAGGCUGCACACAUUUACUAGUGAGUACUUUGGAGCAUUUAUCCUGUAUAU
This is a long non-coding RNA of Columba livia (rock pigeon), 389 nucleotides long. RefSeq lists it as uncharacterized. The transcript has 3 exons. Lineage: Eukaryota; Metazoa; Chordata; Aves; Columbiformes; Columbidae. The record is from RefSeq and is a predicted model, not a curated record.